RNAcentral lists this non-coding RNA (138 nucleotides) under Nocardia sp. The record is from RNAcentral. Lineage: Bacteria; Bacillati; Actinomycetota; Actinomycetes; Mycobacteriales; Nocardiaceae. RNAcentral also lists the same sequence under 1 other name.
CUGUAACCCGCCGGUUAGGGUGAGCCCGAACGGCGAAGCGCAGGAGGAAGCCGGUGUGAGUCCGGCGCGGUCCCGCCACUGUGACCAGGUGCGAGAGCGCCCGGGAGUCAGGAACUCUGCUUCGGCUGUGACCCGUGA